RNAcentral lists this ribosomal RNA (1671 nucleotides) under Salmonella enterica subsp. enterica serovar Typhimurium. RNAcentral's name for it is "partial 23S ribosomal RNA". It matches the Rfam family "Bacterial large subunit ribosomal RNA", at positions 1279 to 2925 of the family's 2925-position model. The record is from RNAcentral. Lineage: Bacteria; Pseudomonadati; Pseudomonadota; Gammaproteobacteria; Enterobacterales; Enterobacteriaceae.
GUAUCAGAAGUGCGAAUGCUGACAUAAGUAACGAUAAAGCGGGUGAAAAGCCCGCUCGCCGGAAGACCAAGGGUUCCUGUCCAACGUUAAUCGGGGCAGGGUGAGUCGACCCCUAAGGCGAGGCCGAAAGGCGUAGUCGAUGGGAAACGGGUUAAUAUUCCCGUACUUGGUGUUACUGCGAAGGGGGGACGGAGAAGGCUAUGUUGGCCGGGCGACGGUUGUCCCGGUUUAAGCGUGUAGGUGUGUGUUCCAGGUAAAUCCGGUUCACUUUAACACUGAGGCGUGACGACGAGGCACUACGGUGCUGAAGCAACAAAUGCCCUGCUUCCAGGAAAAGCCUCUAAGCAUCAGGUAACAUCAAAUCGUACCCCAAACCGACACAGGUGGUCAGGUAGAGAAUACCAAGGCGCUUGAGAGAACUCGGGUGAAGGAACUAGGCAAAAUGGUGCCGUAACUUCGGGAGAAGGCACGCUGACACGUAGGUGAAGUGAUUUACUCAUGGAGCUGAAGUCAGUCGAAGAUACCAGCUGGCUGCAACUGUUUAUUAAAAACACAGCACUGUGCAAACACGAAAGUGGACGUAUACGGUGUGACGCCUGCCCGGUGCCGGAAGGUUAAUUGAUGGGGUCAGCGCAAGCGAAGCUCCUGAUCGAAGCCCCGGUAAACGGCGGCCGUAACUAUAACGGUCCUAAGGUAGCGAAAUUCCUUGUCGGGUAAGUUCCGACCUGCACGAAUGGCGUAAUGAUGGCCAGGCUGUCUCCACCCGAGACUCAGUGAAAUUGAACUCGCUGUGAAGAUGCAGUGUACCCGCGGCAAGACGGAAAGACCCCGUGAACCUUUACUAUAGCUUGACACUGAACAUUGAGCCUUGAUGUGUAGGAUAGGUGGGAGGCUUUGAAGUGUGGACGCCAGUCUGCAUGGAGCCGACCUUGAAAUACCACCCUUUAAUGUUUGAUGUUCUAACGUGGACCCGUAAUCCGGGUUGCGGACAGUGUCUGGUGGGUAGUUUGACUGGGGCGGUCUCCUCCUAAAGAGUAACGGAGGAGCACGAAGGUUGGCUAAUCCUGGUCGGACAUCAGGAGGUUAGUGCAAUGGCAUAAGCCAGCUUGACUGCGAGCGUGACGGCGCGAGCAGGUGCGAAAGCAGGUCAUAGUGAUCCGGUGGUUCUGAAUGGAAGGGCCAUCGCUCAACGGAUAAAAGGUACUCCGGGGAUAACAGGCUGAUACCGCCCAAGAGUUCAUAUCGACGGCGGUGUUUGGCACCUCGAUGUCGGCUCAUCACAUCCUGGGGCUGAAGUAGGUCCCAAGGGUAUGGCUGUUCGCCAUUUAAAGUGGUACGCGAGCUGGGUUUAGAACGUCGUGAGACAGUUCGGUCCCUAUCUGCCGUGGGCGCUGGAGAACUGAGGGGGGCUGCUCCUAGUACGAGAGGACCGGAGUGGACGCAUCACUGGUGUUCGGGUUGUCAUGCCAAUGGCACUGCCCGGUAGCUAAAUGCGGAAGAGAUAAGUGCUGAAAGCAUCUAAGCACGAAACUUGCCCCGAGAUGAGUUCUCCCUGAGACUUAGAGUCUCCUGAAGGAACGUUGAAGACGACGACGUUGAUAGGCCGGGUGUGUAAGCGCAGCGAUGCGUUGAGCUAACCGGUACUAAUGAACCGUGAGGCUUAACCUUACA